This is a long non-coding RNA of Onychostoma macrolepis, 981 nucleotides long. RefSeq lists it as uncharacterized. Lineage: Eukaryota; Metazoa; Chordata; Actinopteri; Cypriniformes; Cyprinidae. The transcript is spliced from 5 exons. The record is from RefSeq and is a predicted model, not a curated record.
UUAGCUGUCUACAUGAUAACACUGCAACCGGAGCUUUUUAAAAUCUUCACCCUGGCAGGAGUUUUCAAAAUGUUCGGUUUCAGUGACCUGCUGCAGUGUUUUUUUUACAGUCUAUGGUGAGGACGAACGGAACAAACCGCAUAGAAAAAGCUGCUGUUUUGAAAAUAACCGCGUUCGUGUGGACGGCCAAUGAGCGCGCGCGUUGAGCAUUCAAAUCGCAUUUAAACUGAAGCGGUGGAGGUUACCAUGGUAACAGGGCGUCAACUCACUCAGCUGACAAGUAGCGAGAAGCUGUCUCUCUGCUCUUUUCAUUGCUUUCAGGAGUGGUAUAGUGUCUUCAAAAAGACCGUUAGCAUCACAACCGUUAACUAUAGAGGCUAACAAUUAGAGGAGCGUCAGAAUAAAAUACCUAAAACAGGGGAAGUUACAAAAAAAUUUGUAAUGUGAGCUGCUGACAGAGAUACAGGAAACACAGAGCUGGAGCGGAGCAGAUCUCCUGUCGAAGAACAUCUCCAAAGCACCAUGAACCAUCUGACUAGGCAGUUCGUGAAGACGGAUAACCUGGACAGAAGUCAGUUCAAGAUCCAGCCUCCACACUAGACUUCUCACUCACAAGGAUUGCUGUCUACUAGAUAUUAUGUGUACUCUUCAGACUUAGGUUCAUGUAGAUAUUAUUCAGGGACAUGAACACUUGAAUACUGCAAAAAUAGAGAAACUACCUUAUUUAAGAAUUUUGUGUUAAUUGUGUGAACUUUAAACAAAUAUAUAUUUAUUUCACUGUUUUUUUGUUUUGUAUUCCAAAGCACCUAAAAGCCAAUUCACACUGCCAUACUCCAACAGGUUGAACACACUGACCAAGCAAAACAAAUAAGCAUGUUUUUAUAGUUUUUGUGAAAGUGUGAACUGACAAUGCUGUAUGUUAGGUGUGAGAUUCAUUCAACUUGGUUUGCCGAUUAAACAUGAUUAAAUAUUUGUUCAGAA